RNAcentral lists this long non-coding RNA (40171 nucleotides) under Citrus x clementina. Its description in RNAcentral is "Citrus clementina (C. clementina) long non-coding RNA (CCLE_LNC005204)". The record is from RNAcentral. Lineage: Eukaryota; Viridiplantae; Streptophyta; Magnoliopsida; Sapindales; Rutaceae.
AUUUUACAACACAAUUAAUAUUAAUUAUUUUAAUAAGUUAUAACAUUACCUAAUUGGCACAUAGUCGGCCUAACCCUGAAUUUGAGACAUAUAAAUGUGAGGUACUUAUGGCAUAAAAUAUAUAUCACAAUCGUGGUGACAAUUUCUACCACGGUCACAAAGUGCAACAAAACCUAAAUUGUCAUCUAAAGGAUCAAAGUGUUUUCAAGUAGUUGUUUAAUCUCUCACACUUAUCUAUCUUCUUAGUAGUUGUCACCACCAUCAAUACAUGCACAUAUUUUUUGAGCUGAACUGACAAAUUUUCCCACUCAAUUUCAAUGAGUAUUUAGAGCAUCAAUGGAGAGAACCUAAAUCAUUGAAGAGAUGGAAGACACGAAGGGCUUUCUUGGUAUAGCCAGACAGUUGCACCAGUGAAAUAGACUAAGUUAAUAUAGGAAACAGGAUUCAUUUUCAGUUAUUGUUCCUGUUGAGAUAUACAGUGAUGAUGAUACAGAGUAUGAUGCAACAGAGAGCAUGAUAAGCUUAGUGGUUUAGUCAGUAGCCCAGCAAAGUUAGUUAUGCUGAUGUGGAUAGUUAGUUACAAACAGAUUCAGUAGCUGUUAGCUGUAUGAAUCUUCUUGACAGAUUCCAUAACAAACUCGCGUGUAAAAUUCAAUAAUACAAAAAAGUUUUCUUUCUUCUUCAUUUUCCAUCACUUUCUUUCUCACUUUCUCUACAACCAAACCGAGUUUUUCUCAUUAUCAAACAGUUCUUAAUGCUACCUGUUUUCUUUCUAUUUUACUGAUUUCAUACAUUUUGUUGCCACCGCAGCGAGCAAUUAAUAAGAAGAUGGAUGCCAGGAAGCGUGAGCGUUGUGGUGUAUCGAUUGAUAUGGAGAGGUUGGCAGAUUCUUUGAGUGGGGAAUUGAAGUCAUUGCAAUCAAAGCUUAUUUAACUAAUUUGUACUGUUUGGUUGCCGAGAAAAGUAAAGAGAAAGCUGAGAAUUGAGAGAGAAAAUUCUGAUCAAAACAAAGCAAUAAUUCUCAUUAAUCAUGAACCUGAUUACAAGGCUAUUUAUAGUAAUAAUAUCUGGAACAUUCUACAUGCACCAAAAGCAUGUGCUUAAGCUUGAGCUAAUUGCUAAGAAACUAGUAGCUAAAUAAUACAUUCAUAACAACCUUGCUGACAAAGCUGCCACGUCACCAGCUUUAGUUAUUUAACGAACUAAGCAUCCGAAGUAUAUUCCUAGCAAUUGCAUCCCUUAGCCAGAGAGUGUUCCAUCUACAGAGUUCUUAAGACCACGCGGUGUUCCCAUCCAAGACAUUUUACUCCGCGAAUUGUUUCAAUUGCUCCCUUUCAUCAUGGUAGGGAAGAGCUAAAAGCCAUGGAAGAGCAUAAGAAAAUAUACCUUAAAAUGAUUUCAGCAAACUAAGGUACGCAUAGCAAGUUUUCUUGGAUAUAUAAAGGCAAGGGAAGCAGAAUUGCGCAACUGUUAUGCUGAAGCAAUUCAUCUUGAGAGUGAUGAGUUCAUAAAAAUGGUUUUAGUGAGUGGCGGACCCAGACACUUAAAUUAGGGGCUUAGUUAAAAACAUUUUAUUUAAUUUGGAAUUUUUUUUAAUGUUCACUUGAAUAUAUUUUAAAUCUCAUAAACUUAAAUUCCAUUACUUUCUUUAAAAUUCUAAAUAAAAUAAUAAUAAAUUAUUUAUUUUAAAUGCGUGAAAGUAUCAUUUUUCUAAAUACUUUUCACAAAAUAUUUUAAAAAAAUAAAAUAAUGUGGUUAUUGGAAUUUAAACCAAGAGUUUAAAACCAUCAUAGAACACACUUACUAUUGAACUACAAAUUUUUUGUUAUAUAAAACACGUGUCUAAAUUUUUUUAUUUAAUUCUUUUAAAAGGGAUUUAAGAUACAUUAAAAAAAAUUAAUGCCCUAGAAGGGGCUGGGCCUUAAUUGGGCAACCCCUUCUGGGCCUUAAUUGCCCAUGGUUUUAGUGGGUAUUGUGUUUCUCUUCGAGCUCUUUCUGAAAUUCUACCUACCUAAUUUCAGAACUGAUGAGGAUCCCAUAUUAGGAAAUCAUUUUUGCAUGCUGAUGUCAAGCUUGAGAUUUUGCUCUAGAAAAUCAGCUUCCAUUGUUCAUUCUCAAUGACUUGUUUAAUCUAGCCAAAACUAUCUCCAGACAGUCCAACAUUGAUCUUCACCAGGAAACCACUUUCGGCAUAAAAAGCUCUCAUUAGGUUUUGGACUGAACCAAAAUUGGACGAAAACAGCUCUUAUAAGGCAAGCUAUUGGAAAUGAUCUUGUAAAGUUAAGUGUAAUUGAAAGUGAAGUAAGUAUGAAGUGUGAUAUGAUGUCUGUAUUGUGAUCAAGUGGCGUUUUGAGGAAUAGAGAAGAGACUGGAGUUGACGAAGGUGAUGGCCAUUUUUUUAUGUCAAGGCUCCACCAAAAAGGGCAAAGAAAAGAAGAAAGAAGACAAAGGAGGAAGAAGAAAAAAGGAAAGAAAAUGAAGAAAAAUGGGUGCCGUUAUUGACAUUUUGAUUUGGUGAUUGCCGACCAUGGACAAAAUGAAAUGGAGGUGGUUGAGUUAGGUGGCUGUCAAACCUAACUUGUGGAAUUUGUUAGCCAACAUUUGGCUAUAUAAAGGGAGCCAUGCAAAUGAGUUUUGCAUCUUAUUUUGAGUGCAUCCGAGAGCUUAUAAAAGAGAGAAAAAUAAGUUUCUCUUUAUAAUCAUUUGUUUUCAAUAUUUAUACAUAUGAGAGUGUGGGUGCAAUAAAUUAGGUUUUGGGUAGUGAGGAAUUUAUCUCAAAUUACUUGUAAUUCUUCCUAUAUAGUGAUAAAUUAUCCUUUUGUCUUCUCCCGUGGAUGUAGGCUAAAAGCCGAACAACGUAAUUUUCUUGUGUUCUCUUUGUGUUUGUUCUUUAUUUUCUUCUAAUUUUACUUUAGCUGCGUGUCUGCUUCACCUAUCAAUUUCCUAACAUUUAACAGCUGGAUUCGGUUUUGAAUUUGGCAGGAAAUCAUGACCCCAACCUUUAAGUUUAAACGAAAAAAAAAAUGCUGCUUCUAGACAACUAACUUGUGAAAGAACAUGAUAUUUCAUUUGGUACAGCAGUGAGCCUCAUUGUAGAAUGGUAAAUUUUUUAAAUAUUAAAUUUGGUUAGGCAGCGCUCUGUCAUGCAAGAAUGGCUACUGUGUACAUGAGUUUAAUUCGUAACAUGGUAUGUUGGAUCUCACACAAGUUUUAACAAUAAGUUACGCGUUUCACAUUUGUAAAAAUAAAAAAAAAAAAGUUUUGAGAAUAUAUACAUUUCAAAAUUUAAUUUAAUAGAUUUUAUUUUAAUAUUAUUAACUAAAAUAAUAAAGUUAAUAAAAUUUAAUACUAAUAAAUGUUAAUAAUGAUAAUAUUAAUAAAAAAAUAAUAACAAUAAUUAAUAAUAACUAAAAUAAUAAAGUUAAUAAAAUAUAAUAUUAAUAAUAAAUGUUAAUAAUAUUAAUAAUAAUAAAUGUAUAUAUUUUAGUUAUUAACUUUAUUAUUUUAGUUAAUAAUAUUAAAAUAAAUUCCUUAAAUUUGGACAUGUAACACUCUUGUUUUAGCCUUAACAUUUCAGAAGUCUUGGCAUAUCAUCAUAGAUGAAUAAUUCCAAACACAUCAAAUAAAUAGUUCUAUUGUAAAUUCAUCGUUCCAAAUGAUCAAUGGACAUGCCAAUUAAAACAUGGUAAUGUUUCCCUGAUGUUGCUUCUAAGGUAUAGCAUUACUCUUACAAGCCACGGCUGUGUUAUGCAUAAAUAAACAUAAAUUUUGAGAAAUUUGAAGUAUUAAAUAACUUUUGCAUGCGUGGAUAGAUGAAAAGGAGCGGAGCUAGAAUAAAAAUUUAAAGGAGUAUCUAAUUAAUGGGUAAAAUGUUAAACUUUUAAAGUUAGCGGGGGCCAAAUCAGCAAAAUAAAUAUUAAAAACUGAAAUUGUAAAUUUACAUAACUAUAUUUAAUAAUUGCUUUUGUACCUACAACAGGGCGUGGCCCCUGUUUUACAUGGGGCAGCUUCCCCUGGGUGGCAGUAUCUACAAUAAUACUUGAUACAUGUUUAUGCUUUUACCUUUUUUCAUAGAGAAACCGAACCAACCUGCUUUAAGUUUUAGUUAACUUAAGAUGAUGUUCAAGAAUAUUAUACGCUUUUUUUCUUCAAGAAUUUACUUUAAUAAUUCAUUUUAGGCUACACUAAAUUGUUUAUCAUAAUGAGACUUGAUUUUAACGCUAUUAUUGGAUCCUUAUGAUUCUGCUUAAACUCUUGAACCAAAUUAUUUCACUAACAAGCAUUCUCAAGUUUAUUCUCCCACAUACAAAUUUUAUUUUAUUUUAAUUUAUUGACUUGCUUUAAAAUUCUCUUAUCUCUAAGCUUGCUUACCUGGAGUUCUGGUUUUAAUACUUGAGGAAACCUAUAAUACUUAUUGAUUCUUACCAAUCAACUUUAACUUUUAUGUAAAGAGAUUUCUUUAAGACUCUAACAACCAACAAUCUUUAUCCUUGAUUUUUCGUUUCGUAAUUUUUGAUGAUUUCAAUUAUGAAGCUUAAAGCAUGCAUCUUAUUAGAUGGGAACCUGUAAAGAAAGAAAACAGUUACUGACUUUAUUGAAAGAGAGGUUCCAUAAAAGACAAGAGAAUUGUGAUGUUCUGAAGAAAGGAAUAAGUGUACAACAUCAAUUUAUUAUUCGGACGACAAGGUCGACGAUAUAUAGUACUGGUUUCAUCAUCCAUAAUUAAUUCAAGAAACAAAGAUAGAAAUGUGAGUAUUCACUUGUCUUAAUUUUGAUGUGUUAAUAAGUUUAUGAUAGAUAUGUAAUCAAUUGUUAUAUCUUUAAAUCAAUGCGGACACACACACACACAUGUAUGUAUCAGCUCACAAAUUAUUUCUUAUUAUGAAAACUUGGUCUUUUAAUAAUAUAAACUAAAAGAGACUGUCCUCGUAUACACCUUUAUAUUAAGGAAUAAUUUAUUUUUAUUUUGGGUGAGGAGACUUUGUUGAUUAUAUUAGUGGGCUGUUUGGGUAUGUACGUGUAGCAGAGGCUAUAUGCAAAAUAAAAUGAGUUUUCUUUUCUCGUUCUCUUUAAUCAUUCUGGAACUAAGUUAGCAACUGUCCUUGAGAUAGCUGGUUUCGGUUUUGUUCUGUUUUACUGGUUUCAUUGAGUAAUAAUAUAAUUACAAAUUCUUGUACAUUUUUUUUUUGCACAAACUGAUGUAACAUGAUUUAAUUGAUUGGAUUAAAUAUCUCUUAGUCCACAUGAUUUGUUUUUAUUAUAUUAUAUUUUUAUUCAACCAAUAAGUUGAUGCUAGAUCGUUUGUACAAAAAUUUGUGACUCUAUCAUCACUCCUUUUCAUUUAUUUUGUUGCUACUGCAGCGAGCAAUUAAUGAGAAGAUGGACGCCAGAAAGCAUGAGCAUGAGGAUUAUGAUGUAUCGAUUGAUGUGGAGAAGUUGGCAGAUUCUUUGAGUGGGGAACUGGAGUCUUUGCAUCCCUUAGCCAGAGGGUGUUCCAUCUACAGAGUUUCUGAGGCCCCGCGGUGUUCCCAUCCAAGUCAUUUUACUCCGAGAAUUGUUUCAGUUGGCCCAUUCCAUCAUGGUAAGGAAGAGCUAAAAGCUAUGGAAGAGCAUAAGAAAAGAUACCUUAAGUGCUUUCUUCAACGAACUAAGGUCCGCACAGCAAGUUUCCUUGGAUUUAUAAAGGCAAGGGAAGCAGAAUUGCGCAACUGUUAUGCUGAAACAAUUCAUCUUGGGAGUGAUGAGUUCAUAAAAAUGGUUUUAGUGGAUGCUGUGUUUCUCAUUGAGCUCUUUCUGGAGUAUUAUCAACCUAAUCUCAGAACUGAUGAGGAUCCCAUAUUAGGAAAAUCAUUUUUUCAUGUUGAUGUGAAGCUGGAGAUUUUGCUGCUAGAAAAUCAGCUUCCAUUGUUCAUUCCCAACGACUUGUUUAAUCUAGCCAAAACAGCAACGUUUGAAACGAACUUGUAUGAGGAAAUUUCCUUCAGGACAAUUACCUGUUUUUGGUUCAGGAAGGAAAUUGCUUCAUAUCUUCCAAUACAGGAGAAUUUGCUAGAAAUCAACUUUUCGAGAGCUAAACAUUUUGUUGAUCUGCUUAUACUCUGUCUUCAGCCAUCCCAGUCGCGUGCAGUUAUUGCGUUGAAAGAUGUAAUCAUUCCCAGUGUAAAGGAACUUCACCAAGCUGGAGUCAAGUUUAAACGAGGGUCGAGCAAAAAUCUACUCGACAUCAAAUUUAAUGAGGGAAUUCUAGAAAUUCCAUUUUUAACGGUGUAUGAUUCCACAGAGCGUUUGUACAGAAAUGUUCUGGCUUUCGAGAGGAUGCAUUGCUACACUAAAUAUUUGAAUGACUAUAUUCUAAUGAUGAAUUAUCUUGUCAGCACUUCAAAAGACGCGGAAUUACUCCUUCAGAACGAAAUUAUUGGGCUAGGGGAUACCGAAGCAGUUCCAACUGUAUUUCGCAACCUUGAUAAAGAAUGUAUUAUAGAUUAUUCUGCUUUCGAAUAUUCUGGUAUUAUUGCUAAUCUACAGGCCUAUUGCAAAUUACCAUGGCACAAGUGGAAGGCAACGUUGAAGCAAAAUUAUUUCAACACUCCAUGGGCGUCUAUCUCUGUAAUUGCAGCUGUUAUUCUUCUUCUACUCACAUCCAUACAAACAGUUUGUUCCCUCAUCGGAUUGUAGAUUCACUUUUACAGUUUAUUAUGUAUUAUUUUCUUAGAAGGAUUUCACUUGUAUUGCCGGUGAGUGUUUCUGUUUAGCUCAACCACAGUAUGUACAUAAAAGAAAUAAGAGCAGCUGAUUUCUGUACUUACUUUUGCUGUUUUCGCAAUAAGUCUAGCACAUAACGAUAAAAAUUUGACAAUUCAAAUAAUAUUGAAGAAAGACUCAAGCCCUCGAUCCACUCGUCCAAUCGUCCACUUGUUAACAAAAAAUAUCUAGAAUUGUAUAUAUCCAGGAAGGAAGGGUAGUUAGGAUAUGUGGUUAACAAAUAGUUAUAUGGUGAUAUAUGGAAAAUGCGGCUAAGAAAUAUGAUAUGAUACAUACAUAUAUAAGCAGUUAGAUUUUUUGGGAUGGGAUUAAUCGGGAGGACCAAGAGUUGGAAUCAUCGCCAUUCGUAGGGGAAGCAAAAUGCAGCAAUCUGAAAUCGUAACCAUCCAUUUUUGGGGAAUAAAUUUAAUCAGAUAAAUUGAAAGGGUCUCAAUACAAGCAUCCAUCAUGCAUUCGAUAAAAGGAUAAAGAAAGCGAAAGGUGUGUCAACCGGGGCUUUUAACUUUGAGAUGAGAAUCUUUUGAUUCAAUCUUCAUGAUAUAUCCAAAUGAGCUGUUAUGGCUACGGACAACGGUGGAUUAAAUUACACUUAACCUUAUCGAGACCAAGUCAAAACAAAACUCAAAACCAGAGCGCCUUACAAUUUAUUCAAGGUGGCUCCAAAAUGCUGAAUGAGCCAAAUUUUUAAGCUACAGGUUACGCAAGACGUUUAAUCCUAAUCGACUUUCAAAAUCCAAUUUAUUGUAUCCAUAUAUAUAUCUAAACCACCACGUAGAUCGGUGACAAACCCUUCUCCCUUCGUCAUUUGCAUAUGUGGGUAACAUUUCCUUCCAAAUUACUUGACGGUGAAUUUGAUCCGCACAAAUAUCAAAAAAUGGUAUUUGCAUGUGGGUAACAUUUUCUUCCAAAUUAUUUGAUGGUAAAUUUGAUCCGUAUAUAUAUAUAUAUAUAUAUAAAAGGUAGUAUAAUAUUUUCAAUGCAUCAAUUCAGUUUUGGAAAAAUAUUUUCGUUGUUGAUGAACUCAUGUGCCCUCAUCAGAUUGACUUUACGCUGCAAAUAAAAAUGGAAAAAAAAAAACCUUUUAUCGUCUAACAAACAUUAAAAAACAUGAAACAGAAAAAUUGGGCCAUUUUGAUUUGGGCCUAUAAUUUUAGGUCCAGUAGAAAGGCCUGAUUGGCCAUGCCAGCCCAAUAUUCAGGCCCGUUAUGUUUCGACGAAAAGUUAUUCUCUCACGUUCACGUUAGAACUUUGUUCUUCGAUGAUCGUCGGUUUUUUCAUGCGAAUGGAGUCCGCGCCUUCUCCAGAUAUCUUAAACGAUGACAAUGCAACAACUCUUGGUAGGUCAUAUUUUCGUUUGCUUAUUAUGCUUUGAUACGUUUAUAUAUUCAUUCAGAUCAUAUUUUAGUUUUUUUUUUUUUUUAAAUAUCAUAUUUAGUUCUGUUCUCUCUCUUUUUUUUUUUUUUAAAAAAGAAAACUCUAUUUUUUCUUAUUGCUAGAAUUUAUCAAACUUUAAGCAUUUACGUUCUUUCUUCAAUCAACUAAUUUCUUGCUCGUCCAUCCAUGUGAUGAAUUGUUUUGAAUAAUUCUAUGAGCUUGUUGCAUGUGUUAUUCAUGGAAUCGUGGUAACUGACUGAGACGAUGAAAGUUUAUGUUUUCAUUUUAUUUCAUUGCAUUUUUUUUUUUGGGUGGUAUUUCAAUUAUUACUAUUUUGAAGGGAUAAAUUUUUAGUUCAAGACUAUAGAUAUGAGUAGGGAAUGCAUAUCAUGAAUCCCAUUUUUGCUUAUCUGCAUGGUAAUUUAUCGCUUCUAUUAUCGAGGAAUGAGUUAAAACUUGGUUUGAAAAUGGAAUAUUCCAGAGCUGGGAAGGACAAUGGGUGAGGAUGGCCAAAAUUCUGGGCCAAUGCAGGAGGACCUAGUGCAGCUGAUUUCUGUACUUACUUUUGCUGUUUGCACAAUAAGUCAAGCACAUAAUGAUAAAAAUUUGAUGAUUCAAUUAAUAUUAGAAAAAGCCUCAAGUCCUCCACUCGUCGAAUCGACCACUUGUUAACAAAAAAUAUCUAGAAUUAUAUAUAUCCAGGAAGGGAGGGAAGUUAGGAUAUGUGGUUAACAAAUAGUUAUAUGGUGGUACAUGGAAAAUGUGGCUAAGAAAUAUGGAAGCACUAUACAUGCUGCAUAAAACGACAGCUGAGGAAAGGAUGCUGCAUAUAAUUUAUAUAAUUAUAUUUAAUAAUUGUUUUUGGACCUACAAUAACAGGGCAGGGUCUCUGUUUUCCAUGAAGCAGCUUCCCCAUGGAUGAAAGUAUCGACAUCAAUACUCAAAACAUGUUUAUGCUUUUACCUUUUUUCAUGGAGAAGCCGAAAAAAACCCGCGUUAGGUUUUAAAUUAAUUAACUUAGAUGAGGUUCAAGAAUAUUAUACGGUUUUUCCCUCAGGAAUUUAUCGUAGUAAUUCGUUUUAGGCUACACUAAAUUUUUUAUCGUAAUAGAUUCGUCGAAAGACUUAACUUUAACAUUAUAAUUGGUCCCUUAUCAUUAUGCUUGGGCUUUUGAACUAAGUUAUUUCUCUAACAAGAUAUCAAAGUUGAAUUUAUUGGCUUUCUUUUAAAUUCUCUUAUCUCGCGGUUCAGGCUCUGGUUUUGGUAAUUGAGGGGACCUAUUAAUUAAUAGUUAUUGACUCUUAACCUAAACUUUUGUGUCAAGCGAUUAAUUUCUUUAAAUCUCUAACAACCAAUAUAAUCUUUGUUCUUGAUUAUUCAUUUUUUAAUUUUUGAUAAUUUCCAUUAUGAAGCUUAAAGCAUGCAGCUUAUUAGAUGGGAACCGAUAAAGAAAGAUAACACUUAAACGACUUUAUUGAAAGAGAUUCCAUAAAAGAUGAGAAUUGUUAUGUUCUGAAGAAAGGAAUUACUGAGUGAACAAUAUCAAUUUAUUCGUAUUAUUCCUACAUAUAUAUGGAGUACAUGGACCAAUUUAUUACGAGGACCAGGUCGAUCUUAUAUGUAAGUGUGUUUCAUAUCCACAAUUAAUACUGGCUACAAAGAAAAGCAAUGUGAGUACUUAUUUUUUUCUUAAUUUUUGAUGUGUUAAGUUUCUGAUUUAUAAGCACUUGAUCGAUAUAUCUCUUAAUUAACCUGGAUACAUACAUCAUUCUUCUUUUAGCUAGCUGGCCAAGGAUGUUCCGGCCCUUUCUUUUUAUUGUACUCUUUUUUCUUUAAAAGGCUGGCGACGGAUGACAGGGAGGACGAGUAUGUGCCUUUCGAAAUGGAGAAGUUAGCCGAUUCUUCAUCCACAAUUAACUCAGGGGCUAUAGAAAAAGCAAUGUGAGUAUUCACUUUUGUCUUAAUUUUUUAUGGCUUAUUAAUCUAUACACACUCGAUCGUCACAUCUUUUGAUUAAUCUAGAUAUAUCCUAGGUACUGAAGGAGCAUUACUCAUUAUUCUCUAGUUGCCAUGUGUGUACAAAUAUUAUCAUGAUUGAUUGAAAAAUAUAUUUGGCAAUGAGUGAAUGGAAAAUGAGCAAUCCUCCUGGAGCACAGCAAGACUUUUCCAUACUAACGUUGUUUAUUUCAUUAUUCUUCCAUUAGUAACUGAUUGAACAGGAAAUGGAAAAGGAAUCUACACAAGCAAUUGCAAAUUAAGUGGAAAUUAACUUUUUCAUUCUUUGUGUGAUUAAAAUAGCAUGUGUACCACAAGUGAAUUAACAAAAAAAUAAACCAACACAAUCCAAAGUAAUAAAUCGAUCACAAUAGACAUAGAUUUUUUAUAUGAAAAUCUCAAAUCCGAAAAGACCAUAGGACCCUAGUCUGAUAUAAUAUUCUACUAUAUUAAUAAUGGGAUUACAACACAAUUUCUUCUCUAGAUAGCACUAGAGGCUAAUAUCUAUUUCUAGGUAACAAUAUCAAUAAUCUCAAAAAUCUUGAUUCACAGUAACACUUUAAUAUCUAUCUCUUUGACAAAUGAGUAUCUCAAAUAAUAACUAACGAGAGGAUAAAACAAAAAUCAAGACUAAUAGGAAUGUAGAGAGCGAUGCCAAAAACUUACCUCUAAAUUUGAGAGUGUGGACUGGAGUGCAAUGAAUUCAAAACGGCUAUGUUUUGAGUAAGUGAUUAUAUUCAUGAAAUCAUGUGCAGCUCGCAUGUCGUAUACUUCACUUAACUUAAGAGAGAAACGGCGUUGUUUUCAGUCGUUUUGGGCAAAGCUUAAGUGAAGCACGUGAGACAGCAUGUGAGGAAGGAACCAUAUUCGUUAUUAAGCCGUUACACACGCGUCAAAAAGUUGUGCAGUCUGGGUUUUUGAUAGAGCUUUCCAGAGGGGUUUAGAAAGUGAGAGAGUCUUCUUGUUCCUUGUAAUCUCCUCUGUAUAAGCUCUGUAACUGAUACAACUCUGCAGCUCAGAGUUUUUAAAUCUUCGAAUUACACUUUUCGAGUAAGUGCUAACUCCAGCAAAAAGAAACAAAGCAGAAUGGAAAUUCGAUGAGAAACAGAGAUAGCAGGAGAGACUGAGAGCGAAGAAGAAAUAUUUGCCAAUUCCUCGUUUCUUUACUGACAUGUUUCUUUCUACAUAUAUCUUUUACCCCCUCAACAUUACACGCGUAACUAACCACCAAUGUAAUGAUUUGCACAAAUAGACAAAACAAAAUAACAAAAUCACAGCUGCAAUGUUUCUCCCUCUUUUUGUUCCUUCUCGAAUGUUCUUUAGGUAAUGUAAUCUUGAGGUAUGUUGGUGCCCUGCGCAUACCAGUUGGACCUUUUAUGGGCUCCUCGACAAGCUGGGCUUCUUCCUCUGUUUCAAGUGCUGACUUGUCAUUACUCUCGGGCCAAGUUGUAUCGGUAACAGUCAUCUUUAUUAAUUGUCUGCGUGUCACCUCAAUUUUAGAAUGCGUCACCUAGCUAACGUCAAUAAUGGAGAAAGGCAGUAGAAAAAGAAAAGCAAUAUUGUAAAAGUUUGAUGCAGUCAAUUAAAGGAGAUAGCAAAAGAAAGAUAAAUAAGCAAAUAUUUUAAUAAAAUAGCUAAACCAGAUAAUUGAAUAAAUCAGUAUGCGUAUUAAUUCUAGAAUAGCAAGACAUAUACCUUUUUUUUUUUUUUAUCAUGAAUUAGUUGCUUUAGCGAGAAAUUUUAAUCAAAGUCAAAAUUUUUAUUGUGAAAAUGCAGAGUACUUUCCAACCUGGAAAAAUUGCAGAGUCCUUUCACCACCAAUCUUGCACGAUACCGCUCCACUUGGUCAUUGUCAUCACAUUUGAUCUUGUAGACCCAUUUGUUACAAAUGGCUUUUCUUUCGCGUGGUAGUGAUACAAGUUCCCAUGUCUUAUUCUUGUGUAGAGCCUCAAUUUCUUCCUGCGUUGCUGUCAUCCACAAAGCAACAUCUGACCUGUUUAAAGUUUCGUGGAAAGUUCAUGGCUGUGGAUGAAAUAUUUUAUUUUUUUUUCUCACGUGGCGCGCCUUCUUUUCUUUUGUUUCUUCUUCUUCUUUUUUUCUGCCCUUUUCGAUGGGGCGUUGACAGGAGUUGCUCCACUUUAGAGCUAUCUUUAUAACUACACGAUCAAAAUAAUAAUGUAUUUUUUUUAUUAUUUUUCAUUUCGAUUAUAUGGCUGCGAAACUCCUGUAAAAUAGCCACGGCCUUUUACUAAUUUAUCAAAAUAAAGAGGCAGACAAAUUUAUAAAUUGUUUUCGUGUCACCUCAAUUUUAGAACGUGUCACCUAGCUAACGUCAAUAAUGGAGAAAGGCAUAAGAGAAAGAAAAGAAAUAAUGUAAAAGUUUGAUGCAGUCAAUUAAACAAAAUAGCAAAAGAAAGACAAAUAAACAAAUAUUUUAAUAAAAUAGCUAAACCAUAUAAUUGAAUAAAUCAGUAUGCGUAUUAAUUCUAGAAUAGCAAGAUAUAUACCUUAAAAUUUUUUUAUCAUGAAUUAGUUGCUUUAGCGAGAAAUUUUAAUCAAAGUCAAAAUUUUUAUUGUGAAAUUGCAGAGUACUUUCCAACCUGGAAAAAUUUCAGAGUCCUUUCACCACCAAUCUUGCACGAUACCGCUCCACUUGGUCAUUGUCAUCAUGUUUGAUCUUAUAGACCCAUUUGUUACAAAUGACUUUUCUUCCACGUGGUAGUGAUACAAGUUCCCAUGUCUUAUUCUUGUGUAGAGCCUCAAUUUCUUCCUGCGUUGCUGUCAUCCACAAAGCAACAUCUGACCUGUUUAAAGUUUCGUGGAAAGUUCAUGGUUGUGGGUGAAAUUUUUUUUUUCUCACACAGCGUGCCUCCUUUUCUUUUGUUUCUUCUUCUUUUUUUCUUCUGCCCUUUUCGAUGGGGCGUUGACAGGAGUUGCUCCACUUUAGAGCUAUCUUUAUAACUACACGAUCAAAAUAAUAAUGUAUUUUUUUUAUUAUUUUUCAUUUCGAUUAUAAGGCUACGAAACUCCUCUAAAAUAGCCAUGGCCUUUUACUAAUUUAUCGAAAUAAAGAGACAGAUCUGCGUGUCCCCUUAAUUUUAGAAUGCGUCACCUAGCUAACAUCAAUAAUGGAGAAAGGCAGAAGAAAAAGAAAAGCAAUAAUGUAAAAGUUUGAUGCAGUCAAUUAAACGAAAUAGCAAAAGAAAGAUAAAUAAGCAAAUAUUUUAAUAAAAUAGCUAAACCAGAUAAUUGAAUAAAUCAGCAUGCGUAUUAAUUCUAGAUUAGCAAGAGAUAUACCUUAAAUUUUUUUUAUCUUGAAUUAGUUGCUUUAGCGAGAAAUUUUAAUCAAAGUCAAAAUUUUUAUUGUGAAAUUGCAGAGUACUUUCCAACCUGGAAAAAUUGUCUACGGUAAGCCCCAAGUCAAGUCAAGCAAAGUACAUAAUGAUUAAAAUUAGAUAAUUAUAUAUAUAUAUAUAACAACGCUACGUACCAUAUCAAGUCUAAAAUUUGAUUAACCACGUUCCAAAGCAGAUCUAUCCAUUUAUUUUCAAAGAAUCUAAUAACCAAACUCGGUAAAGCUAUUUAAAAAGAACCAACUGCGAUCCAACUUGUUUUAUUAAAGCAAUCAUAAAGUUUUCCGACGAAAGCACUUCCAUCCUUCGAUCCUAUUUCCUUCUGGUAUCAGAGCCAAGGGGAGGAUAGUGUAAUACAGUUUUGAGUUUUUGUGAUUAAAGACUUGUGUUUUAUUUAAAUAUUGUUUGUGUGGUGAAUUUUUACUGGUAGUAAGUCCUGUCAUAGGAUAAGGAUUUCCGCAUAGGGCUGUAAAACCAUACGUGUAGCCAUUCAACCAAGACCUUAGAUUGACCAUAAGUUCUUUCUUUAUGGAUCCUCUGCUCUGUAGAGCAUCGUCCUUUUCUAGCUCUUUUUCCGGGAAGACUAGUGAUUCAAAGCAUGUUGUGAGUUCAGAAGAAUUCAUUAUUGAGAACUUUGAUAAAGCAAUUGAUUGUUGGGAACUUCCAAAGAUUUCCAAAGAAAAGAUUUACAAAACAAAAAAGCUUGAUUUUUUAAAAAAUGAUUAUGUAAUAAAGACUGAAGAACGUGACAUAACUCUUUCUGAGCCAUUUGAAACAAUUCAUUUGUUUUCAGAAAAGUCUUUAAAGAAAUUAAAAGAAAAGAAUUUUAAUUAUGUUCAUAUAGGACUUAUUCAGGUUGGUAUAAAACCCUUAACCAAAGAAGGUUUGGAUACUUCUAUCCUCGCUGUCCUUAGAGAUGGUCGAUUCAUCUCUUUUGAUGAUUCUUUACUAAGUAGUAUUGAAUCGAGUCUCUGUAAAGGUCCAAUUUCUUUUGAUUGCUAUCCAAAUAUAACAAUUUCUCUUAAAGACAAAAAUAUUUUGAAAAGCAUGAUUUUACAAAUCAAAACCCAUAAUUAUAAUAUGAUUAAAGGAUCUGUUCCAGUAGCCUUAAUUUUUAAAAUUUCCUAUAAGGCUAUGGUUUCUGCGUUCAGUACGCAACAUAAAUUCCAGUCAAAAAGAGAUGAGACUCUUCUCUUGUAGACUGAUUUGUCUAGAGCCAACACUGUAAUUCCUAAACCUAUCCAAUGGAAAGAUGUCAAUCUUCCAGAAGAAUGGAUUCUCGAAGGAGCUGCUCCACCAGCAAUUCCAAAACAACUUGAGCCAAAUACAGAGUUGCAAAAUGUGACUCAAUAUUCUGAUGGUAAAGUCAAACUAUCUUUCAGAAGAUCUAACUCAACCAGAUUUUCUGAUAAAGAGUCGUGCUCAAGCAUUCCUUCCUUAGAAAGGAAAUUUACAAAAAUACCUUCAGUUAUAAAUCUUCCUUAUCAACCCGUAAGGAGUCAACCGAGGUUUUCCACCUCAGAUAUUCCGAGUUCAUCUAUUCGUUCUGUUGACUAUACCACAAAUGUUCCUCAUCCAAUUUAUACUAGUAGUCAACAUGAACAAAAACAAGAAGAGAAGGAACCUUCUCCUCCAACUUCCCCUACUUUUUCUGCUAUCACAGAAAAUGUCAUAAAUGUUAUUGAAAAGAAUUUUGAGCUUGAUAAAAAUCUUCUUCAUAAUGAUUUUUACUCUGACUUUAAUAAAGAAAAAAGACUUUGGUUUUUUAAGAAUUUUUUAAAUCAAAGGAAAGAAAUCCAACAAAUCUAUUAUGAAUUUGUUAAUCUUCAUCAAGUUUAUAUAUUGUUUUUUGAUUGGUUCGAAAUAUAUUCUUCUGAGAACAACAUUGAAUAUCCUUUUAAAGAGUCAAACCCUAUUACUAUUAGGAAGAAAAUUCCUGAAUGGAAACUUCUUGAUAGCAAUAGAAUCAUAGAGUCUGAACACCCACCUCUUCGGAGUGUAACCAUUGAUCAUGGAGAACCUCCUGUCCAAAUUAGAGCUUCACCUUACAAAAUUCCAAAGCCAAAUGAUUCUGAAGCCAAUUUAAGUAGUAUUAUCCAACAGAAUAAUUUCUGUAAUACCAACUUAAAUACAAUCGGAAAGCAGUUGACUAGGAUAGAAAACCAAUUCCAAAAGUCAACCAUUACUGUUUCUUCGAUUCCACCAAAAUCGGAUUCUGACAAAAAACUUAAGGAACCUAUUUUCAAACCUUUUCAGGUUUCGAAAACUAGCCAAAAGUUUGUUCAAGAGUCAAAAUCAGAUUUUGCUAAAGCCAUUAGAGAAUAACUAGAUAGGAUAGAAGCUGCUUCUUUCUCAUCUAGCAAAGUUCAGAUAGCCCCUGAUACUCCUCAAUCUAGCAAGAUUGGAGUAUUAGAACAAGACCAAAUGUCUAUAGCCUCUUCUGAUAUAGAAGCCUUCAAAGAAGAACCUUCUACUCCUAAAGCCAACAAAAUUCAUUGGGAAUUAGCCUUUCCCACUGCCAAGACUCCACCGGAUCUAGCAAUAGAUAAUAGACCAAGUGCAUUAAAUCAAUCCCGAUACAAUGCAUCUUCAGUCUAUGAGUGGAAUAUUGAUGGUAUGUCCGACUACAAUAUCCUAGGAUUGUUGCAACAAAUGACAAUGGCAGCCAAUGCCUAUAAAACCCAAGCAGGAACUUCUGAUCGUGCCAUAUCAGAAAUCCUCAUUGCCGGGUUUACUGGUCAACUAAAAGGUUGGUGGGAUCAUCUUCUCAAUAAUCAGCAACAAUUAGACAUUUUAAAUUCCAUUCAAGUCGAUGAAAAUAGAGCACCUAUUCUUGAUGAGUUCAACAAUCCAAUCAAGGAUGCUGUUGCUACUCUAAUUUUAAUUAUUUCCCUCCAUUUCAUUGGUGAUCCUUCACACCUUCGAGAUAAAAACGCUGAGUUACUACAUAAUUUAAGAUGUAGGAAACUUAGUGAAUUUCAAAGUUACAAAACCUCAUUUUUUACCAGACUAUUUCUAAGAGAUGAUGCAAAUCAUAUAACUUGGAAAGAAAAUUUUCUUGCUGGAUUACCUACCCUUUUAGGUGAAAAGGUAAGAAAUUCCAUCAAAACCCUUUAUGAUAAUCGUAUUCCUUAUGAUGAGCUCACCUACGGUGAACUUGUCAGUUUUGUCAAUAAAGAAGGUUUAAAGAUUUGUCAAGAUUUAAAAUUACAGAAACGACUUAAGUGGGAGCUUAAGAAGUCUAAACAAGAAUUAGGCGGUUUCUGUAAACAAUUCAAUUAUGACCCCUUUAAAACUUCUAUCUCCAAAGAUUGUAAUGGUGAGUGUUCUACUAAACCUCGUAGGAAACAUUACAAAUCUAAAAAUUUUAGGAAACCCUUUCGUAAUUUUAGAGAACUUCCUUAUAAGAAACCUUCGAGACCUUAUAAGAAACCCAAAUUCUCUAAAAAAGAGUUUAAAGCCAAACCAAACACUCCUUUCAAUUACAGAGAAGCUAUAUGUCACAAGUGUGGCAUAAAAGGUCAUACUGCAAAAUAUUGCAGAAUGAACAAAAAACUUCAUGAGCUUGACCUUGAUGAUGAGAUCUUUUCUAAAUUAGCCCCUCUUCUUAUCGAGUCUUCUGAUUCCGAGUCUUCUAUGUCAGGAGACAAUGAUCCAUAUCAAGUUGAUGAGCUAUUUGACUCAGAUGACUCUGCAUCUAGCAGUAGCGAAUCUGAAUCUGAUUCAUUUUUAAAGAAAAUCAAUGUUUUGACUAAAGACCAAGAAACUUUUUUUGAACUUGUAAAGCAUAUUUCUUAUCCGAAUCUUCAAAAAGAAUAUCUUGAUAAACUUCUAAAAACUUUGGAUUUUAAUAAAGCCGAAACUUUUAAAGUCCCAAUUGUUAAAAAAAAAUCUUAUCAUCUUACUCAGAUUUUGGAUAAAAAGAAAACAAAGAAGUCAACACACACAAUUCAAGAUAUUCAAAAAGAAAUCAAAGACAUUAAACUUGAAAUAAAAGAUUUAAAAGAAAAACAAAAAAGUGAUUCUGAAACUAUCCAACUCCUUUUACCAAAGCAUUUACAGGAUAGCUCAGAUAAUGAGUCAAAUCCUAAUGAUGGUGAUAAUAUUGACCAUAAUUUAGAAAACAUUGAGUCUAUACCAAAUGAUUUUCUAUUUGCUUUAAAAUAGAUCACCAUGAGAAAGUAUUUGAUUAAAAUCACUUUGAUUUUUUCUGAUGAUUUUGCAAUUGACGCCAUUGCCCUUUUUGACACUGGUGCCGAUUUAAAUUGCAUAAGAGAGGACAUUGUCCCCAAAAGAUUUCAUGAGAAAACAAAAGAAAGACUUUCUGCCGCCAACAAUUCAAAGCUUAAUGUAAAUUCUAAAGUCGAAGCUUCAAUUCAUAACAAUGGUUUUGAAUUUAAAACUUCUUUUGUUCUUACAAAUGACAUACACCAUGCUGUCAUUUUAGGAACCCAUUUUAUAAACCUUAUCACUCCUUAUACUGUCAAUUAUGAUAGUAUAUCUUUUAAAGCAAAAGACAAAAGGUUUGUUUUCCCAUUUAUUGAAAAGCCAAAAACAAGAAAUUUGAAUAUUGUUAAAGCAUGUUCUGUCUAUCAGAAUCAAAUCAACAAUCUUCUCCGAUCCAGACAAAGUGAUUUAAUGUUUUUACAAAAGGAUUUAAGUUUAAAAAGAAUAGAAAGCCAAUUACAAAAUGAUUUCAUCCAAAAGAAAAUCUCUGAUUUUAAAGAUCUAAUUGAGAAAGAAAUUUGUGCCGAUCUACCUUCAGCCUUUUGGAAUAGGAAACAACAUUUGGUAGAUUUGUCUUACGAGAAUUCUUUUGAUGAAAAACAAAUACCUACUAAAGCUCGUCCAAUCCAAAUGAAUAUGGAUUUGGAACAACAUUGUAGAACUGAAAUAAAAGACUUGGAGUCUAAAGGACUCAUUGUAAAAUCUAGAUCCCCAUGGUCUUGUGCCGCUUUUUAUGUAAACAAAAAUUCUGAAAUUGAAAGAGGAGUACCAAGAUUAGUCAUAAAUUAUAAACCCCUUAAUAAAGCAUUAAAAUGGAUUAGGUACCCAAUACCUAACAAAAAGGAUUUGCUUCAAAAACUGCAUUCUGCUUUCAUAUUUUCCAAAUUUGACAUGAAAUCGGAUUUUUGGCAAAUUCAAAUUCAUCCAAAAGACCGUUAUAAAACUGCUUUUACUGUUCCUUUUGGACAGUAUGAGUGGAUUGUUAUGCCAUUUGGGUUGAAAAAUGCGCCUUCAGAAUUUCAAAGAAUUAUGAAUGACAUUUAUAACCCUUAUUCUGAUUUUUGCAUUGUUUAUAUCGAUGAUGUUUUGAUUUUUUCUCAAACCAUCGACCAACAUUUUAAACAUCUAAAGACCUUUUACCUUGCUACCAAAAAAGCUGGUUUAGCAAUCUCUAAGUCUAAAGUCUCUUUGUUUCAUACAAAGAUCAGGUUCUUAGGUCACCAUAUUUCCAAAGGAACCAUUACCCCUAUUGAGCGUUCUCUUGCUUUUGCAGACAAGUUUCCUGAUAAAAUCCUUGAUAAAACUCAAUUACAAAGAUUUUUAGGAAGUCUAAAUUAUGUUCUUGAUUUCUGUCCAAAUAUCAAUAGGAUGUCCAAACCUUUGCAUGAUAGGUUAAAAAAGAAUCUUGUUUCCUGGACCGAUGAGCAUACUAAAGUAGUUAGACUUAUAAAGAAUUCUGUAAAAAGCAUCCCAUGCUUAUUUCUUGCAAAUCCUGCUUUACCUAAAAUUGUUAAAACUGAUGCAUCUGAUUUAGGUUAUGGAGGAAUAUUAAAGCAAAAAGAUAUUGAUAAGGAACAGAUAGUUCAAUAUGUUUCUGCACAUUGGAAUGAAUGCCAAAAACAUUAUUCAACCAUCAAAAAAGAAAUUCUUUCCAUUGUUUUAUGCAUUUCAAAAUUCCAACAUGAUUUAUUAAAUCAAAAAUUUCUACUUAGAAUUGAUUGCAAAGCUGCAAAACAUGUUUUAGAAAAAGAUGUUCAAAACAUUGCAUCAAAACAAAUUUUUGCACGAUGGCAAGCCAUUUUAAGUGUUUUUGAUUUUGAUAUUGAAUUCAUUAAAGGAGAUACAAAUUUUAUUCCUGAUUUUCUAACCAGAGAAUUUUUGCAAAGCAGAUAAUGCCGCCGAAGAAAAAAGACAAAGGUAAAGCUAUUCUCAAAGAUACCGAACCUACAAAAACCUCCAAAGAACCUCAAUCUACUCCCUCUAAAGAAAAAUUACUUUCUUCAGCCAUACCCAUUAAAUCCUGGAUUGAAUUGGUUGAAGAAAAUCAAGGAACCCAGUACAAAUCCAUCUCCUCUGAACAACAAGUCAAAGAGUGGAUGGAAUCUAUUACAAAGUCCCCUGAGCUUAUGCUUGCCUUACAAGGCAUCUCAAAAUCUAAAGCCCUUUCUCAGAUCCCUGAGGAAGAAAAACCAAUUUCUAAAGAAAUUACAAAGUCUUCUUCCCAAAGCCAAACUGUUGUUCUUUCUGGUGAAAGUUCAUCUUCUCAGAUUGUUCUUUCCCAGCCAACAGCUUCAAAUAAAACUUCCGAUUGGUAUGAUAAAACUCAUUUUCAAAAUGUUUUAACUAUGGAAGAUGAAUUUUACCACACUGAUCCUUUCCAAGCAAUCUCAAAGUUUUUUCCUAAAGGCUGGUUUUUUAAACCAUGGGAUUUAACAAAACCCCAGCCUUAUUAUCAAAGCAUUUUAGAAGCCACUGAGUCUGUAAAAUUUAAACAUUUCUUUCUCAGUGAAACCCAUUCAGAGCCGGCCUACUCCACGGCCACUAUUUUAAAAGUUUUAAGCCCAAACCAGUGGGGUGACCAACUCCACAAAUUCAAAACAUUCCCUCCAAGUUUUCAAAUGCGUUUACCACACUGCCUGGCCUAUUCCUAUUGGGACUACCAGCAAGCUUGGUUCAACACAUUUUUCUUACAAAACCCAAAAAGGUCCCAUUCAUGGUUAUUUUUCUUCAAUUCAAAAAUAACCGUCCAAAGUCUUCCAAAUUGGUUCCAACAGUGGUGGAAUUUUUUUGGUCCAACACCACAAAUCCUAACUCCAAAUGCCACUCAUUGUUUAAACCUUUUCAAAACCCAUUAUUCCCCAUCAGAUUCAGAGAAACGGUUUUCUCCAUUCCUCUGUUUUUGUACUAAUUUCUUCCUCCCAUGGGUAUGGAUGUGGAAUUUCAGAUUUCAUACUCAUGAAAAACAACUCAUCAUACAAAGAACUUUCAAAGUCAAGUGGUGGUCAAAAUUCGAUGAACAAACCAAAUUGACUGAAUCCCUCAUCAAAAAUUGGCUUUGUUCAAAAGGCUUUCUACCACAAACCAUUAAAGACUCCAAAGUCCAACAAACCUUCCUAACCCAAAAAUCCAAAGCCCAAUCUCUCCUGGCUAGUGCCAAAACUGAAGAUGAAUACUUCAAAGUCAUGGAACAACUCCUUACCUCCAGAUCAAAGUCUUCAGUAGCUGACACCUCUGAAGAAGAAGAAGAAGAUGAAGAGCCAUUUGAUGAAGAACCAUUCAUUUCUCUUGGAGACGAUAAUGAAGAUGACUGUUUCGGAAUUUUCUCUCCAGUAAAGCAUUGUAAAUAAUUAUUUGAUUAUUUACUUUAAAAAAAAAUAUUCGGGUGGUCCCCUGGACACAAGUGAGAGCGCACAUGUCUCUUCACCCGGGGUGUAUUUUGUAUUUUGUACAAAGCAACAGCACCGCUACAGUGCCAAUUUCCAAAGUUUACUGUGCACUUAAAGCUCCGCUACAGUCUACAGUGCCAAUUUCCAAAGUUUACUGUGCACUUAAAACUCCGCUACAGUGAACAGUUUAAAAUGUUUCUAUAAAAACCAAGAGGAAGACUUAGACUCCUCAGGUUUUUCAUUUCUCUUCUUCUCUCCCUUCUCUCUAAAAACUUCUCCUCUCUUCUUCCUCUCUUCCGACUCUCUCUCUCUCUCUUCUUUCUCUCCUGAGACAAAAGAAGUUUUUUGUAUUCAAGGAAUUUUCCUAUCAUCGGUUAAGUUCCUUGUCUUCAGAAUUUUUCUGGAAUCUCUCUUGUAAUCUCUUAAAGCUGCCAGAUCAAAAGAAAUAAAUGUAAAUAUUUUUAAAGCAAGUUUAAAUUUCUGCACUUUAAAUUUCUGCAAUUUAAUUUUUAUGUACAUUUAAAUUUCUGCAAUUUAUUUUAAAGCAAUUUAAUUUCAUGCAUGCAUUGCAGACUGAUCCGUAUCAGAUCUGCCAUAUAAAUUGUACAUUCCUCUGAGGCAAAGAGACCAGAUCUCGAUCCUCAGUUGUAAACCUUCUUUUCUCCCUCCAUUCCUUCAGAGCACCAUUUUCGGGAACCGGAUCUGGUACUGUGUUUGUACCCAAGCCUUUAGAUGUAUGUGUUGCUAGGCUUGCUAAAGAAAUUAAUAAAGAUUUGGUAAAAUAUUUAAAAUCUGACAACCGCGUUUAAAGAAUUUAAUUAUUAUAUGGUAAAGCAAAAUUGAUUUAGUAUAUCAGCUGGAAUACUCGAGGAUACGGGCUACUGGUCCAAAGCGCUAUUAAAGAUCUGCUCUAAAAUAACUGAGCAGGAGCGAUUCCUCAGAUAACAACGCUACGUACCAUAUCAAGUCUAAAAUUUGAUUAACCACGUUCCAAAGCAGAUCUAUCCAUUUAUUUUCAAAGAAUCUAAUAACCAAACUCGGUAAAGCUAUUUAAAAAGAACCAACUGCGAUCCAACUUGUUUUAUUAAAGCAAUCAUAAAGUUUUCCGACGAAAGCACUUUUAUAUAUAUAUAUAUAUAAGUCGUCCACUUGGUCUUUAUAAGGAAUAAGUUAUUUUGAAUAUUAUUCAUUUAUUUUUUGGUUGAGGGCUUUUGUUUUUCAAUUUUAAAAGUGGGUUGUUUGGGUAUGUGAAGCACAAAGCCGAUAGGCAGAAGCAGGAAUGUGAGUCGUUCUUCUUGUUCUUCCUUUUUUUCCAUUUAAUAUUGACGUUUCAAGAUACAUAUUCUUAUAUUUUCCUUUAAUCAUUAAUUCUGAAAAUGAGUCAGCUCUGCAGAUUAUUUGCGGUUGUUAAUUGUUUUUGAUGCAGUUAUCUAAAUUAUCUGAAUAAUUUCAUUUAUUUUAAUUUGUUGCUGGUGCAGCGAGCAAUAUUUUAUCAGAAGAUGGAUGUAUCGGUUGAUAUGAAGAAGUUGGCCGAUUCUUUGAGUGGGAAGUUGGAGACCCUGCCUCCCUUGUCUAAAGAGUGUUCCAUCUACAGAGUUGCUGAGCCCAGGCGGCGUUUAAAUCCGAGUCAUUACACUCCGCAAAUGGUUUCAAUUGGCCCUUUUCAUCAUGGUAAGGAAGAGCUACAACCCAUGGAAGAGCAUAAACGAAGAUACCUUAAAUGCUUUCUUCAACGAACCGAGGUAUGCAUGACACGUUUUCUUACACAUAUAAAGGAUAAGGAAGCAGAAUUGCGCGAUUGUUAUGCUGAAACAAUUCACAAUCUCGGAAGCGAUGAGUUUGUAACAAUGGUUUUAGUGGAUGCUCUCUUUCUCAUUGAGUAACAAUGGUUUUAGUGGAUGCUCUCUUUCUCAUUGUGUUCUUUCUGAGAUAUUACGAACCUCGUUUCAGAACCGAUGAUGAUCGCAUAUUUGGAAAACCCGAAUUGCAUUGGAACAUACGGCAUGACCUGUGGCUGGUUGAAAAUCAGCUUCCAUUGUUCAUUCUGAUUGACUUGUUUAAGCUGGCCAAAACAGAAACCUGUGGUGAUGGCUUCCUCAAGAAUAUGUCCUUCAUGACAAUUAGUUGCCCUCUGAUCGGUGAUUAUAUAGGUGUUCAUCUACCAAUACAGAAGAAUUUAUUAGAAAUCCACUUUCCCAACGCUCAACAUUUUCUUGAUCUGAUUGUACUGUCUUCAGCCAUCUGACUCUCAGUCGCGAGCUGGAACUGAAUUGAAAGAUCCAAACAUACCCAGUUUGAAGGAACUUCACCAAGCCGGAGUCAAGUUUAAACCAGCUGCUAAAGGGUCAACCCAAAAUCUGCUUGACAUCAAUUUUAAUCAAGGAAUCCUGGAAAUUCCAUAUCUAACGUUGUAUGAUGCCACGGAGCGUUUGUACAGAAAUCUGAUUGCCUUCGAGAGAUUGCAUGGCUACGCUGGAUAUUUUAAUGACUUUAUUAUAAUGAUGGCUGACCUCGUCAAAACUCCAAAAGAUGCAGAAUUACUCAUUCGAAACAAAAUUUUUGGGCUAGGGAAUACUGAAGCACUUGCAACUACUUUCCGCGAACUUGAUAAAGAUUGUGGAAUGGAUCAUUUUCAUUUCCAAUAUUCUGGAAUUGUUGCUGAUCUACAAGACUAUUCCAAACUCCGAUGGCACAUGUGGAAGGCAACCUUGAAGCAAAAUUAUUUCAACACUCCAUGGGCAUCUCUCUCCGUAAUUGCAGCAGUUAUUCUCCUUCUACUCACAGCCACACAAACCGUUUCUUCUCUAAUUGCUUUGUAGAUUUAUUUCUAAUGUUUUUCAAAAUUUGUACUGCCGGUGCUUCUGUCUAGCUCAACCACACAGAUUGUAAAUGAAAUAAGAGCAAUUGAUUUCUGCCCUUAAUGUUUUUCAAGUACGUAAUGAUAAAAACUUGAUAAUUUAGUAGCUUAUUGGAAUAAAUUAAUUGAGAAACAAACAUUGUACAUUUGUAAGCAUAUAUUGUCCACUUGUCGCUUGACUUUUCUAAAUUGUGUCGCCUAGCUAACAUCAGUAAUGGACGAUGGCCUGGCAGAGAGAAAAGAAAAGCAAUAAUGUAAUAAUGUAUCACUGCGAUUCUGUGAAAGAUCUUAAUAAGUGAAUAACCAGUAUUAUUAUCGACUAUUGAUUCUAGUUUUAGCAAGAGAUAUGCCUCAUAUCCUUUAUUCAUCAUUACCUAUAAGAGAAUCUGCUCAACUUAGCGCUAAAAAUGUAAGCCCAGGAAUUCUUGAAUUAGGGAACUAUGUAAUAUAAAUGGAGAAACCAAACCACCACUUGAGAAAUUGUCAACAUUCAAGGGGCUAGAUGUUAUUAGUCCAUUUAUUACAGAGCAUCUCACGCCAUAACAAACCCUGAGUGGGGUUUGGGGGUUGAAAAUUAACCAUGGAUUAGAACAAGGGUUAAAAGAACAAGUGGUUAAAAACGGACAACCACAAAACCCAGAUCUUCUACGUUCGUGUUUUUCCUCUCCCAUUUCAGGGACCGAAAAUUUGAUCUUUUUGUCAAAAACCCAACCCUAACAACUUCUGGAAAGCACUUUUCGUCUCAAAAUCACUUUUUUUUUCUCUCCUCCUUCAAGCGUUUAAUUACACUUGAUAAAGAAUGCGCUAUCGAUUAUCUUCAUUUCCAAUAUUCUGGUAUUGUUGCUAAUCGACAAGCCUGUUCUCCAAAUCACCAUGGCGCAAGUGGAAGGCAACCUUGAAGCAAAAUUAUUUCAACACUCCAUGGGCGUCUAUCUCUGUAAUUGCAGCUGUUAUUCUCCUCCUACUCACAGCCACGCAAACAGUUUCUUCUCUAAUUGCAUUGUAGAUUUAUUAAUUUCUACUGUUUGUGAUCAAUUUUUGUGUUUUUAAGGAGCAUUUCAUUUGUAUUGCUUGCUAGUGCCUCUGUUUUGUUUAGCUCUCCCACGGAAUGUAUAAAAAAUAAGAGCAGUUGAUUUCUAUAGUUACUGUUGCUGUUUUCACUCGCCUUUCCAACAAGUCAAGCAGCUAUAUAUUGUCCACUUGUCACCUCAAUUUUUAAAUUGUCACCUAGCUGACAUCGGUAAUGGAGGAUGGCAUGGCAGAUAAAAAAGAAAGGCAAUAGUGUGAUAAUGUAGCAAUUCGAUUCUAUGAAAAGGUUUUAAUAUUUGAAUAACCAGUAUUAGUAUUGAUUCUACAAUUCGUAAUAAUUAAUUAGUUGCUUUAUGGAGACAUUUUAUAAUCACGUUAGAACUUUUACUGUGAAAUGAGAGAGUAAUUUGUCUACAGUAAGCCCCAAGUCAAGUCAAGCACAUAAUGAUAUAACAUAAAAGCAAGAUAAGUCGAGCAAUCGUAAAGCAUGGGUCCUGGAAAGUUGAAAGAAAAAGCAAGAGCGUUUUGUGGCCCAGCACAGAGUGAUGAAAAUUUGAUUAUUCACUCUCCGAUCGGACGGAUAAAGACCAGCCAGCUGGGUUGGUUUGGCUAUUCCUUUCUGUUGAAAAGGACCCUACAUUAAGGGAUUUGAAGUGACUUCGAUGCAAAGCAGUUGUGCGGGGCAAUAAAAUUCAAUACAUGAUCUCUGCCAAGUAAAAGACACGAUUGCAGGGAAGCGCUAUGCUUCAUAAAAUAUUUAGGGGGUGUCAAAUGGUGUAGAGGUAAAUCUCUUUGGGUUAAAGUUGAAAAAGAGUAUUUAAUUAUUGGGGUAAAAUGUUAAACUUUUAAAGUUGUAAGAGCUAAACAGAAAAAUAAAUAUUUUAAAAUCUGAAAUUGUAAAUUUACAUAAUUAUAUUUAAUCAUUGUUUUUGGACAUACAACAGCAGGGCAGGGCCUCUGUUUUCCAUGGGACAGCUUCCCCAUGGAUGAAAGUAUCAAUGAUAAUACUUAACACAUGUUUAUGCUUUCACCUUUUUUUCAUUGAGAAGCCGAAACGAAUCUGCUUUAAGUUUUAAAUUAAUUAACUUGAGAUGAGGUUCAAGAAUAUUAUACGGUUUUUUCCUCAGGAAUUUAUGGUAGUAAUUCAUUUUAGGCUAUGCUAAAUUGCUCAUUGCAGUAAAUUCGUUGUAAGACUUUACUUUAAUACUAUUAUUGGAUCCUUAUUAUUAUGCUUAAGCUUUUGAAACUACGUUAUUUCUGUAACAAGAAUUCAAAGUUGAAUUUAUUGGCUUGCUUUUGAAUUCUCCUGUCUCAUGGCUCAUCUACAUGCUCUGAAUUUUGUACGUUAGGGGACCCAUUAAUUAUUUAAUUAAUACUUAUUGACUCUCAAGUUAAAUUUUUGUGUCAACAGAUUUCUCUAAGACUCUAGCAACCAAUAUAAUCUUUGUUCUUAUUACAUGAGAACCAAUAAAGAAAGAUAACACUUACUGACUUUAUUGAAAGAGAUUCCAUAAAUGACAAGAGAAUUGUUAUGCUCUGAAGGAAGGAAUUAAUGUACAAUAUCAAUUUAUUCGAACUACUCCUAUAUAUAUAUGGACUAUAUGGACCAAUUUAUUACGAGGACCUGGUCGAUCUUAUAUGUUAUUGUGUUUCAUAUCCACAAUUAAUACUGGCUACAAAGAAAAGCAAUGUGAGUAUUCAUUUUAGUCUUCAUUUUUGAUGCGUUAAGUUUCUGAUUUAUAUGCACUUGAUUGUCAUACCUUUUUAUUAAUCAGGAGACACAUCAUUCUUCUGUUAGCUAGCUGGCCAGGGAUGUUCCAGCCCUUCUUUUUAUUGUUCUCUUUUCUUUUUUAAUUAAUAAAUCUCGCUCAACCGAGGACUUUUAUUAAAAUGCUGGCCAUGGAUGACAGGGAGGACGAGCAUGUACCCGUCGAAAUAGAGAAGCUAGCCGAUUCUUCAUCCACAGUUAAUACAGGGGAUACAGAAAAAGCAAUGUGAGUAUUCACUUUUGUCUCAGUUUUUGACGUGUUAAGUAGCUGAUUAAUCUAUGCACACUCGAUCGUCAUAUCUUUUUAUAAAUCUGGAUGGAUAUAUCUCUGGUACUCAAGGAGCAUUGUUUCUUAUUGUUCUCUAGUUGUCAGGUGUGUAUAAAUAUUAUCACGAUUAAUUGAAAAAUAUACUAGACAAAGAGUGAUUGCAAAAGGAGCAAUGCUUCUGAAACACACCAAGAAUUUUCCAUACUAAUGUCAUUUAUUUCAUUAUUCUUCCAUUAGCAACUGAUUGAAUAUAUAUGGAUGACAGGGCCGUAUGAGGACGAGAACGAGCAUGUGCCGAUUGAUAUGAAGAAGUUAGCCGAUUCUUUGAGUGGGAAGUUGGAGACCCUGCCUCCCUUGUCUGGAAAGUGUUCCAUCUACAGAAUGGUUUCAAUUGGCCCUUUCCAUCAUGGUAAGGAAGAGCUAAAAGCCAUGGAAGAGCAUAAACAAAGGUACCUAAAAUGCUUUCUUCAAAGAACAAAGGUAUCCAUGGCACGUUUCCUUGCAUUUAUAAAGGAGAGGGAAGCAGAAUUGCUCAGUUGUUAUGCAGAAACCAUUCAUAAUCUUCAAAGUGAUGAUUUCGUAAAAAUGGUUUUAGUGGAUGCUGUGUUUCUCAUUGAGUUCUUUCUGAGAGUUUAUAAACCUGAUUGCAGAACUGAUGAUGAUCCCAUAUUCGGAAGAUCAUUUUUGUAUGCUGAUGUGAGGCAUGAGAUUUUGCUGCUAGAAAAUCAGCUUCCAUUGUUCAUUCCCAACGACUUGUUUAAUCUAGCCAAAACAACAACGUUUGAAACAAACUUGUAUGAUAAAUUUCCUUCAUGACAAUUACCUGUUUUUGGUUCAGGGAUGAUAUUGUUGGAUAUCUUCCAAUACAGGAGAAUUUGCUAGAAAUCAACUUUUCGAAAGCCAAACAUUUUGUCGAUCUGCUUAUACUCUGUCUUCAGCCAUCCCAGUCGCGUGCAGUUAUUGCGUUGAAAGAUCUAAACAUUCCCAGCGUAAAGAAGCUUGACCAAGCUGGAAUUAAGUUUAAACGAGGGUCGAGCAAGGAUCUACUCGACAUCAAAUUUAAUGAGGGAAUUCUAGAAAUUCCAUUUUUAAGGGUGGAUGAGACCACAGAGCGUUUGUACAGAAAUGUUCUGGCUUUCGAGAAUAUGCAUUGCUACACUGGCUAUUUUAAUGACUAUAUUUUAAUGAUGAAUUAUCUUGUCAGCACGCCAAAAGACGCGGAAUUACUCCUUCAGAACGAAAUUAUCGGGCUAGGGGACACUGAAGCAGUUCCAACUGUAUUUCGCAACCUUGGUAAAGAUUGUGCGAUAUAUUACUUUCAUUUCCAAUAUUCUGCUGUUCUUGCCAAUCUACAGGCCUAUUGCAAAUCGCACAAGUUGAAGGCAACCUUCAAGCAAAAUUAUUUAACCUUGAAGCAAAAUUAUUGCAACACUCUAUGGGCGUCUAUCUCUGUUAUUGCAGCUGUUAUUCUUCUUCUACUCACAUUCAUACAAACAGUUUGUUCGCUCAUCGCAUUGUAGAUUCACUUUUACAGUUUAUUAUGUAUUAUUUUCUUUGAAGGAAUUCACUUGUAUUACCCGUGAGUGUUUCUGUUUAGCUCGACCACUUUUGCUGUUUUCACAAUAAGUCCAGCACAUAACGGUAAAAAUUUGACGAUUCAAUUAAUAUUGAAGAAAGACUCAAGUUCUCCACUCGCCCAAUCGUCCACUUGUUAAUAAAAAAUAUCUAGAGUUAUACAUAUCUAGGGAGGGGUGGUAUAUGGAAGAUGUGGCUAAGAAAUAUAAUAUAUAUAUAUAUAUAUAUAUAUAUAUAUAGGCAGUUAGAUUUUGGUGAAAAGGAAAAUGCCCUAGAAUUAUACAUAUACAUCGGUUUUUUUAUGACGCGGCAGUUUUCUGAUUAAUAUUGAUACUUAUUAACCAGAAAACUACCGGCAUCGGUUUUAUUAUGACGCGGCCAAAUGCACUGCUCCGACAUUGAAAAGGAAUCUACUUCUUUUCCAUCAUGGAUUUAUGGGGCCGCCAAAUAAUUAUUAAAUGUAAAGAUAUUAUUAUCAUUACCAAAUAUAUUAAGAUAACAAAUAAAAAUUAAACUUAAUAAAAUAAAAAUAUUUAUUUUAGUUAUUAAUUUUCAUAUAUAUAUAUAUAUACUAAUCAAUUACGUGGCACUUUUUUGGCUAUAUGGCAGCUUCUUAUUGGUUGUUGGUGGUCCCCCAUGGAUUACUGUGCCAAUCAUAUUCGUGCAAUCUUAAUUUUCAUUCUGUUACCAACUGAAAUCUUAAGGCAAAAUUAUUAUCGUUUGUUCAUUAUCAACUAAACUGUAUCUCUCUGCCUCUGCGGCAAUAUAUAUAUAUAUAUAUAUAUAUAUAUAUAUAUAUAUAUAUAUACGUGCUUGCAUGGUCGCUUUGACUUUUGAUUCAAAAUUGUAAUAGAUUGAGUACAUACCCCAUUGGAUUUUAUCAAUGCUAACUUUAAAUUAGUCGGUCCAACCCUGAAUUUGAGACAUAUAAAAUGUGAGGUACUUAUGGCGUAAAAAAUCUAUCAUAAUCGUGGCGACAAUUUCCACCACGGUCACAAAGUGCAACAAAACCUAAAUUAUCAUCUAAAGGAUCAAAGUAUUUUCAAGUAGUUGAUUAAUCUCUCACAUUUAUCUAUUGAUAUGUCACCACCAUCAAUAUAUGCACUUAUAUUUUGAGCUGAACUGAAACAUGAGAUUUUCUGUUUAGCUGCACCCCAGGGCGAGCCGCGGGCUGGGUGGAAGGCACCAGGCUCAGACCCUGGAAUAGGGAGGCUAUCUUGGCUACCUGAAGAGAGCCAAUGAACUGUGAUUAUCAAAAUCAAUGGGGACAUGACUAGUAAUCUUUGCAGCAGCUCAGAUGGUGCGGCCAUUACUGUGUCAUAGAGUAAGUAACCCAGGAAUCCGCAAACGAGUAUCCCUACUGCCUUGAGAAGCCAUUGCUCUGUUAUGCCGAUGGUUUCAGGCCUUGAUGAAGCCAUGAGUUAAAACAAGUGGUUUGGAGCUAAAAGGGAAAGGACUGAAGGGUCUAUAAAGAUAAUUUUGUGUUUGCUUUUGUGGACUUGUGUGAGCAAGUAAUGUUUCAAGAGACAGAAUUAUUGAGCCUCUGUCACUAACUUUGUCCCAUAUGUUAACAUUUCUUAACAGAGGCAAUAAUUUACAAAGUAACAAUUUGAAAUUCAAUAUUUCUCAUCUCAUUUAGAAGAAUCAACCUGUUGCAAACAAGACUGACCCUCUAGCUGUCAAAAUUUGAACUAAAGCUGCACCAAACAACCGUUCCCCUCAACCCAACUGCACCCCGGCACUUUCUUCAAACCUUUCUGAUUCAUGGCAACCAUAAUCUCAGCUGCAUUAUCCCAAAUAUCAGAUAGAGAAGAUGAAUAUCAGAUAGAGAAGAUACGCUUGGCAGAGUUGAUAGUCCUGUGAUCGCUGUCAGUCCUUUGCAUAUCACACUUGAAACAUGAACAUAAUUGCUCAUCAUUCGGUUCCUGAGAAUAUGUCAAAGAACGUGCGCGUAUUGCGACUGUGGCAAUAGGAAAAGCGACAGCUUCAAAAUUAUUGUAAAGAAGCAGCACCAAUCGAGGAACAAAAUAGCAACUCCAGAAGAAAGGAUGUUGUAAAGCUUCCGCAGCGGUCGGCCUCAUGUAGGGACUCCAGGAGGAGAGCCACGAAAUCAAGCUGAUGGCAUCACUGCUAGCAGAUUCACACCACCCAUCUGCGGGAAUUUCCAAUUGAGAUUGCCCGCGAGUUGAAUUCCAAGAGGCCAAGAAUCCUUAGUGGGCCUUCCAAUCACUUGGCAGAUUUUGUGAAUUUGAUCAGCUGAGGUUUUCCCUGGAAAGAGAAUCCUGAAACUCAACAUCUCGAACAUAAUAGUACCCAUCGCCCACAUAUCAACUUCAGGUCCAUAAAUCUCGUAAAAAAGCAACACCUCAGGAGCUCGAUACCAGCGAGUUGUAACAUAAUCAGUGCACGGCAGAUUGGAAUCAAUUUCCUUCACCAUUCCAAGAUCCCCUAUCUUGAUCACACCUUUCGAAACAAGCAUGUUGGAAGGCUUUAGGUCACGGUGACAAUAACCCUGUUGGUGCAUGAAAUGGAGACCUUAAAAAACUUGGAAACACAAGUUUCUGACGUCAUCUUAAGAGAAAUUUUUACCCUCUCUUUCUUUCAUAAGUUUUAGAAGAUAAGAUUGCAGAAAACGAAAUGCUGUCUGAUUUUAGCACUGUUUGUAUCAUCUUGGCAAACAAGGAAAUAGCAUCAUUUCCUCGGCCGUUAUCUGCAAGUCCAGAAAUCAUGAUUGUCCAAGACUGCAAAUUCUUCUCACGCAUUAAAUUGAAAACUUUGAAAGCUUUCUCAACAUGCCCACACUUGGAACACAUCUCAACCAGGGCGGUUCCUAGAGCAACAUCCAGCUCCAAACCAUUAACGACAGCGUAUGAAUGAAUGGGUUCUCCUGCCCUGACAUUGAUCAGACUGGUACAAGCAGAAACCAAGCUUACCAAGGUGACAGAGUUUGGAUUUUCAUUUGCUAACUUCAUUCGAUGGAACACCUUCAAUGCGUCCGAUGGACUAUCACUUUAUGCAAAAAAAGUGAUAUCAGGAUAUACGGUAAUAAAGGAAACGAAAGCAAAAUAGCAGAUUCACAUGAAAACAAGCACCGCAACUAGACAAACUCAUUAACUAAUGAACUUCACGCAGCAAUUAUUUGGCUUUUAUUCACAUUAACGGUUUUUUAUUUUAUUUUAUUUUAUUUUAUUAAAUCCACGACAAGUAACAAUAACACAUACAAACAAUUCAAAUCAAAUCAUUGAAGAAACAUACCAAGCAACAAAACCCGCAAUCAUAGAACUCCAAGAAACCACAUCUCUCACAGGCAUUUCCUCGAACACUGCUUUCGCAAAAUCAAUUUCCUUACAGGCAGCAUACAUCCUCAAAAGGGUAUUCCCAAUAUAUUUAUCCGAAUCCAAGCCCACUUUAAAAAUCAACGAAUGCACUGACCCACCAAUUCCAAUCAACAGACACCGACCACAAGCUUUUACAACAAAAGGGUACGUAAAAUCAUCAGGUCUAAGCCCUGUUUUUAGCAUUUCAUCGAACAGUUUGAUUGAUUCAAUCGGACAAGAGGUUUUUGUGUAGGCUCUUAUAAGGGUAUUGUAAGCAAAAAGUGGUGGCGUGACGGGCAAGUUAUUGAAUAAGGAUCUCGUAAAGUGGAGUGAGAUUGGAAGUGAAGUGAGAAUGAAGCGUGAGAUUAUGUACGUGUUGUGAUCGAGUGAUGUUUUGAGGAAUAGAGCGGGGAGUUGAUGAAGGUGGUGGGCGGUUUUUGACAGUUGGAUCAGGGUUUCAAUUUGGCGGGAAAUCAUGACCGUAAACUAAAGCUAUUCUUGAUCGACAAACUAACUCGUUCGAAAAAUCAUGACCGUAAACUAAAGCUAUUCUAAAUUGAAAGGUGAGCUUGAGACCAGUGUUGGGUUUAUAAAUGUAUAAUGAAAAUCCCUCAGCUGUGUAAUAUCAUACGGUUGUGGUCAUGCAUAAAUAAACAUAAAAGUUGAGAAAUUAAAAAAAAAAAUUAUUUUUUAAAUAUUAGAAUUUUUUUAUGUCAGUUGUAACAAUAUGACACUUGCAACAAAACCAUUUUCUUGGCAAUUGAAGUAACAUCAAAUUUUUGUCAAAUUUAAAUUUUCACCUAAAAUGUGGUUUGACAUAGAGCCCUUUGGGAUUAUUUCUGAGGUUUAAAAUUAAUUUUGAAAAGAUAAAAUUAAUUUUGGAGUUUAGUGAAUUUUUUUUCAAAAUUAUUUUUUGAUAAAAUCAUCCCAUUAUAUGGUAGAUUUGAAAAACAAAGAAGGAAUAAACUUAUGUCAGAUCACACAUAAGUUUUAACAAUUAGUUACACGUUUCAAAUUCGUACAUGCAUACUUCACAAUAAAUUCCUUAAGUUUGGACAUGUAAUACUCUUGUUUUAACCUUAAAAUUUCAGAAGUCUUGACAUAUGAUCAUGGAUGAAUAAUUCUAAACUCCUCAAAUAAAUAGUUAUAUUGUAAAUUCAUGGUUCCAAAAUCAAUGAAAAAUCAUACGGCUGUGUCAUGCGUAAACAAACACAAAUGUUGAAUAACUUUUGCAUAUAUGGAUGGAUGAAAAGGGGCGGAGCUAGAAUAAAAAAUUUAGGGAGGGUCAAAUAUUAUAGAGGUAGAUGUUUUAAGGUUAAAGUUAAAAAAGAGUAUCUAAUUAAUGGGUAAAAUGUUAAACUUUUAAAGUUAUCGCGGGAUAAAUCAGCAAAAUAAAUAUUAAAAUCUGAAAUUGUAAAUUUUCAUAAUUAUAUUUAAUAAUUGCUUUUGGACCUACAACAGGGCAUGGCCUCUGUUUUCCAUGGGGCAGCUUCCCCUGGAUGAAAGUACAUACAAUAAGACUUGAUACAUGUUUAUGCUUUCACCUUUUUUCUUAGAGAAACCCAAACCAACCUGCUUUAAGUUUUAGUUAACUUAAGAUGAUGUUCAAGAGUAUUAUACGCUUUUUUUCUUCAAGAAUUUACUUUAGUAAUUCAUUUUAGGCAAUACUAAAUUGUUUAUUGUAGUGAGACUUGACUUCAACGCUAUUGUUGGAUCCUUAUCAUCCUUUUAAACCAAAUUACUUCACUAACAAGAUUUCUCAAGUUUAUUCUCCCACAGACAAUUUUUAUUUUAAUUUCAAUUCAUUGAGUUACUUUCAAAUUCUCUUAUCUCUAAGCUUACCCAUGAGUUUUGGUUUUAAUACUUGGGGAAACCUAUAAUAUUUAUUAAUUCUUACCAAUCAACUUGAACUUUUUUGUAAAGAUAUUUCUCUAAGACUCUGACAACCAGGGGCGGAUGCAGUGCAGGACCAUUGGGGGCUCAAGCCCCCACUGAAAUUAUUUUUUUUGUUUAAAGGAAAAUUAAAAAUUAAAAAUAAUCCCUGUAAAAAUUAUUAGAUAAUCUCAUUCUUUAAAAUUUAAACUAUUAUUUUAAUAAUUAUAAAGUAAUAAUUUUACUUAAAAAAAUAAAGCCCACAACCCAAAAUAUUUAUAAUCCCAAAACUGAACCGUGAUUGCCAAACGUGUAAUUAGGGAUUGUCUUGAAGAAAAGAGGAAGUUGCAGGCAUCAGUUCUGUUCUUUAUUCUCAUAAUCGCAAUGAGAAUAAACAUGUUCUUUUCGGUUUUUUUUUCAAAUUAAGUUAAGAAUUUUAUAUUUUAUUUUUUGUUCACAUGUCAACACAUCUCUAUAUAAAUUGUAAUUGUUCAAGUGACUAAUUCUAGUCUUUACAAUUUCUUUUUUUAGUGAUUUUGUUUAUAACUAUUAGUAAAUUAAUUUUUUCAAUCGUAAUUAAUUUAUUUUUACAUAAGUACUCAUAUAUAUAAUUUUGAGCAAUGAAAUUUGUGAAGAAUGAACUUCAGAAUCGGAUAGGAGAUGAAUGGAUGAAUGAUAAUUUGAUUGUUUGUGUAGAAAAAAGAUGGAUUUAAUAGUAUUGAUACUGAGUCUAUUGCACAAUAUUUUCAGAAUAUGAAAUCGCGUAGAGAACAAUAGUAAGUGGGUUACCAAAAAUUUUAUAUAUUUAAGUUUCAAUUUUUACAUUUUGCUAUUAUUUAAUUUAGCCCCCGGUAAAUUAUUUUUCUAAAUCCGCCACUGCUGACAACCAAUAUAAUCUUUGUUCUUGAUUUUUGGUUUUGUAAUUUUUGAUGAUUUUAAUUAUGAAGCUUAAAGCAUGCAUCUUAUUAGAUGGGAACCUAUAAAGAUAGAAAGCAGUUACUGACUUUAUUCGAAUCUUUAUAUAUAUAUAUAUGAAGCAUAUGGACCAAUUUAUUCGGACGACAAGGUCGAUCAUAUAUAAUACUGGUUUCACAUGCAUCAUUAAUUCAAGAAACAAAGAUAGAAAUGUGAGUAUUCGCUUGUCUGCAUUUUUGAUGUGUUAAUAAGUUUAUGAUUUAUAUGUAAUCAAUCGUUAUAUCUUUUAAUUAAUUUGAACACACACACAUGUAUGUAUAUAUGUACAUAAAAUCAUUUUUAGGUGCGGAUGUCUGAAAUUUUUUUUUUUUUUUGAAUUCGCUAUUACACUGUAUACUGUAUUGGUUAAUUGAAUUAAAAAAAAUGAAACACUAAUACGCCAUAUUAUUUAAUAGCCAAUUCGCAGGAAUAAAAAAUGCGGCGCCCACGUAGGAGAAGGACUGCUAUACACACACACUCUAAUGUUGUUUAAUUAUUUCUUUAUUCUUCGGUUAGCUAGCUGGCUGGCCAUGGAUAUGUGGGAGCACGAGCAUGUACCGAUUGAAAUGGAGAAGUUAGCCGAUUCUUUGAGUGGGAAGUUGGAGACCCUGCGUCCCUUGUCGAAAGAGUGUUCCAUCUACAGAGUUCCUGAGCCCAAGCGUUGUUUACAUCCAAGUCAUUACACUCCGCAAAUGGUUUCAAUUGGCCCUUUUCAUCAUGGCAAGGAAGAGCUAAAGGCCAUGGAAGAGCAUAAACGAAGGUACCUAAAGUGCUUUCUUCAACGAACUAAGGUACGCAUGGCACGUUUCCUUGCAUUUAUAAAGGACAGGGAAGUAGAAUUGCGCAAUUGUUACGCUGAAAUCAUUCACAAUCUUCAAAGUGAUGAGUUUGUGACAAUGGUUUUAGUGGAUGCUGUCUUUCUCAUCGAGUUCUUUCUGAGAAAUUACAAAGAUAAUUUGAUAACUGAUGAUGAUCGCUUUUUUAGAAAACCGGAGUUGUAUUACGUAAUUCGAUAUGACUUUUAUCUGCUUGAAAAUCAGCUUCCAUUAUUCAUUCUUGGUGACUUGUUUAAUCUAGCCAACACAGCAACCUAUGAUGACCUGUAUAAGAAUGUUUCCAUUGUGUCAAUUACCUGUUUUUUCCUUAGGGCAGAUAUACUUGCGGUUCUUCCAAUAGACAAGAAUUUGCUUGAAAUCCACUUUUCCGAAGCAAAACAUUUUCUUGAUCUACUUAUACUCUGCCUUCAGCAAUCACAGUCACGCCCUCAAAUUGUACUGAAAGAUCUAAACAUACCCGGUGUAAAGGAACUUCACCAAGGUGGAAUCAAGUUUAAAUCAGGGUCAAGCGAGUGUCUACUUGACAUCAAAUUUAAUAACGGAAUUCUUGAAAUUCCAUCUCUUACAGUAUAUAGAAGGACAGAGCGUUUAUUCAGAAAUCUUCUAGAUUUUGAGAGCAUGCAUGGCUAUACUAGGUAUUUUAAUGAUUACAUUAUAAUGAUGUGUAAUCUCAUCAGCAGUCCAAAAGAUGCAGAAUUGCUCAUUGAAAAUGAAAUUAUUGGGCUCGGGUACACCGAAACACUUCCAGCAAUUUUUCGCAGCCUUGAUGAAGAAUGUAUUAUGGACAAAAGUAAUUUCCAAUAUUCUGGUAUUGUUACUAAUCUACAGUCUUAUCGGAAAUUGCCUUGGCACAAGUGGAAUACAACCUUGAAGCAAAAUUAUUUCAACACCUCAUGGGCUUCUAUAUCCGUAAUUGCAGCUGUUAUUCUCCUUCUACUUACCGUCAUACAGACAGUUUGUUCUCUCAUUGAAAGGAUUGCAUAGUAGGUAGAUUUAUUUUUCAAAUUUUGACUUCUUAAAAGGAUUUCACUCGUAUUGCCAGUGAGUGCUUCUGAUCUGUUUAGCUCAACCACAGUGUGUAAAAGAAAUAAGAGCAGUUGAUUUCUAUACUUGCUGUUUUCACUCACCUUUCCAAUUAAACAACCACAUAUUGAUAACUACUAAUUUAUCCAACUAAUUAAAGGAAUUGACAUUGUACAUAUAUGCUGUCUGUUUGUCACCUCACAUUUUAAAUUGUGUCACCGAGCUAACAUCAAAUCAUCAAUAAUGGAGAACGGCAGAGAAAAAAUAAAAGCGAUAAUCUAAAAGGUUGAUGCAGUCAAUUAAAGGAAAUGGCAAAAGAAACAGGUAGUGUACAUAUUGUACGUCUACUGGCCACCUCGCUUUUUAAAUUUUGUCUUUUUUUUUUUGGGAAAUUGGUAAUUGCAUUAGAAAGGCCAAAUUAGGACAAUAAUAUAUUAUAUUGAUCAAUAGUUUAUUGACUCUUAGGGCGCAAAUACAACUAUAUUAUAAAAGGUAAUAUCAAGCUUAAGCACAAUAUUUAAGAUAAUGAUUAAGACUAAGUUUAAAUUAAGGCAAUACCUAACAAUUAAAAAAAUAUAAUUGGAAUAUUCAAAUUAAUGUGGGGAAAGCCAAAAAAAAAAAAAUCUAGCCUCUAUACAAAACGAUAUUAAUUUCUCAUGAAUUUUGAUUCUCUGUUGAUAAAUUUGAAGACCAAGUUCGGGCUAGACGUCAUUUACUUGAUUACCUUAAAAUGAAGAAUGAUUUCAAGAGAUGUUUCAAAGGCUAUGACAAAAGUGUUGGUUACGUACGCAUCGCAGAAUUUCUUCUUCUAAUGAUAUACAUGAUAUUUUAACAUAGCUAGAAUUUUAAAUUUUAACUUGAAAUUUUUUAAAUUAUUAGCGGCAGAACAUACCUCACCAAAUUUCACUUAAAAAAAGUAUUUGGUAAAAGACUUACACCAAUCAAUGUAAAAGACAAUACGGAACUUAAAGAGAUGAAUAUCAAUGCAUUGAGUAAUUUUCGCUCACAUGCACGAAUGGAAUUAUUAAAUAUCCACUACACACUUAGUACGUACGUAGCUAGGAUUUUUAAGAACAAAUACAAUAAUCAGCCUUCUUGAGACCAGUGUUGGGUUUAUAAAUAUAUAAUGAAUCUUUCAUCUCCAUNNNNNNNNNNNNNNNNNNNNNNNNNNNNNNNNNNNNNNNNNNNNNNNNNNNNNNNNNNNNNNNNNNNNNNNNNNNNNNNNNNNNNNNNNNNNNNNNNNNNUCCCUUCCCCGAAUAAGAAAUUGGAUAUAAAACCAUCCUCAUACCCUCCCCAAAUGGGGAAAAUCCCCAAGGGCCCCCGUCCCUAUGGGGAUUUCUGUCAUCCCUAAAAGAAAUCUACUUCUUUUCCAUUAUGGUGCGGCCAAAUGAACUACUCCCACUGGGAUUCGAACUCGUUCCCUCGAUAAGUUGGGUAUGAGUACGAAUGAUGUUUUUCACGCUCAAAGUAGUUUUAGUACAACACUAACGUGUGGAGAUGCAUAAGUAAACAUAAAAGUUGAGAAAUAAAAGAAAAAAACUAUUAUUUUUUAAAUAUUAGAAACUUUUUAUGUCAGUUGUAACAAUAUGAUAGUUGCAACAAAACCAUUUUCCCGGCAAUUGAAGUAAUAUCACAUUUUUUUCAAAUUCAAAUUUUCAACCAAAAUCUGGUUUGGCAUAGACCUCCUUUGGGAUUGUUUUUGAGGCUCAAAAUUUUGAUUUUGAAAAGAUAAAAAUUAAUUUUGGUGUUUGGUGAUUUUUUUCAAAAUUAUUUUUGAUAGAAUCACCUCAUUAUACAGUAGAUUAGAAAAAUAAAAAAUGGAUAGCUUUACACAAUUGAUUUUGAGAAUCAAUUUUAUACUUAGACACCGUUUGGUAUAACUUUUCAAAUAAAAUUUAUUUAAGUAGAACUUUUAUUGAUAGAGUUUUUAGCAAAAUAAUUUUAUUUAUUUGGUUGUCGAUAAAAGCUUUUAUUAAAAAUUAUGAAAUUCUUUUAUAGGCAAGAAAAGGAAUGAAAUAAGAUUGUCAAAUAAAUAAAAGAUAUUUUAGAUAUUUUAAUAUUUUAAAAAAACUUUUUAACCUUUAGUACUUCAAAAAGUCUAAAAUUUGAACUUUACUAAUAGAUGCAAAAUAACUUAUUUAAUCGACAAAAACUCUACUAAAAAACAAUCAAACAACAAUAAAAUUUUUGAAAAGAACUUAUGAGAUUAGAUAAGUACUUAUGACCAUGAGAUAAAUCAUAUCAAACAAACACUUAAAACAAUUUCAUAUAUAUAUCUUCAUAUAUAUUAUAAAUAUCCAAAAUUAUCCUUAUUCAAUUAAGAAAUAAAAUUAUUAAAUUUAAAGAGAUUAUUAUCAUUACCAAUUAUAUUAAGAUAACAAAAUAAAAUUAAACUUAAUAAAAUAAAAUUUUUUAUUUAGUUUUUAAUUAUCUCACAUAUAUAUACACACACACACGCAAAUAAAUUUUAUUUAAUGUUAUGUCUAUUUUAAUAAUUUGUAUUCUAAUACGAUUUACCAAAUACAUAUAACUAGUUUUAUAACUCACAACACUUUUAAAAAUAAAUUUUCACUAAAUGUCUAACUUUCGUAGCCGAUUAAUUUUACAAUACAAUUAUUUAAAAGUUAUAACAUUGUCAAAUUGACCCAUAAUCGGUCCAACCCGAAAUUUGAGACAUAAAAAAUGUAUGGUACUUAUGGCGUAAAAAAUCUAUCACAAUCGUGGUGACAAUCUCUACCACGGUCACAUAAGCGCAACAAAACCUAAAUUGUCAUCUGAAGGAUCAAAGUAUUUUCAAGUAGUUAUUUAAUCUCUCACACUUAUCUAUUGUAUGUCACCACCAUCAAUAGAUGCUCAUAUUUUUUGAGCUGAACUGACAAAUUUUCUCACUCAAUUUCAAUGAGUAUUCAGAACAUCAAUGGAGAGAACCCAAAUCAUUGAAGAGAUGGAAGAUACGAAGGGCUUUCUUGGCAUAGCAAGACAGUUUAACCAGAGAAAAUAGACAAAUUUAAUAUAGGAAUCUAGCACGUGAGUCAGGGCCCGGGUUUAAUAAAAGAAUUGUCUACUUGUCGCUUUAUUUUUUUAAUUAAAUUCGGUCACCUAACCUCGACAUAAAUUUUGGACUGAUUUGUGGCCUAUUGAAUUGUUUGAGCACGAUCAUCUAGUAGCUAAUUUUUUGCUUUAUUGAAAAAUUAAAAUGAAAACAACUUAUUCAAUUUUAUUAGAAAGCAACUCGGUUUUGUUGUAUUAAAAAAAGACUCUUGACUAAUUCUCCGGAGGGGAUUGGAUAUUAGUUAUGUAAUGAUUUGUAUAAGACUUUUAUUCCCGCUCUAUUUGUCCUAGUCUUUACCAGGCUCCACUAUAUUUAUAAAAAAAAAAGACUCUUGACCUCACAUCACUUUGUCCGAAGAGUGCACAAUUGGUUGGAAUUAUUUUAUUAUUAAGGAAAAUUAUCAUUGUACCACCUUUGUUUUACCUUAUGUUCAUCCAAUUAUCAUAAAAUUUUAACAUGUUCUCUGCACCACCUUUCUUUUCACAUUUGUGUCAACUAUCCACUUUUGCAUCAACACUGUUA